GAUGAACGCUGGCGGCGUGCCUAAUACAUGCAAGUCGAGCGAACGGCCGAGAAGCUUGCUUCUCUGAUGUUAGCGGCGGACGGGUGAGUAACACGUGGAUAACCUACCUAUAAGACUGGGAUAACUUCGGGAAACCGUAGCUAAUACCGGAUACUAUUUUGAACCGCAUGGUUCAAAAGUGAAAGACGGUCCUGCUGUCACUUAUAGAUGGAUCCGCGCUGCAUUAGCUAGUUGGUAAGGUAACGGCUUACCAAGGCAACGAUGCAUAGCCGACCUGAGAGGGUGAUCGGCCACACUGGAACUUAGACACGGUCCAGAGUCCUGAGGGAGGCAGCAGUAGGGAAUCUGCCGCAAUAGGCGGAAGCCUGACGGAGCAACGCCGCGUGAGUGAUGGAGGUCUUCGGAUCGUAAAACUCUGUUAUUAGGUAAGAACAUAUGUUUAAGUAACUGUGCACAACUUGACGGUACCUAAUCAGAAAGCCACGGCUAACUACGUG
Molecule: ribosomal RNA, 497 nt
Filed under: uncultured bacterium
Lineage: Bacteria
Description: partial 16S ribosomal RNA
Rfam family: Bacterial small subunit ribosomal RNA
Source: RNAcentral